AAAAAAAACAAACCCUGGUUUCCGUGCCCAACGUUUGACCGUCCGUCUUAUUUAAAAAAAUUAUGAAAAAAAAUUAAAAAGACAAGUCAUGCAUAAAAUAUUAAUCAUGUUUUAUCACCCAACAACAAUGAAAAUACGAAUUAUAAAAAAAUUUUCAUAUAAGACAGACAGUCAAAGUUGGACACGGAAACCCAGGGUUUGCCUUUUU
Molecule: non-coding RNA, 208 nt
Organism: Oryza glumipatula
Lineage: Eukaryota; Viridiplantae; Streptophyta; Magnoliopsida; Poales; Poaceae
Source: Rfam